AUCCUCUGGUUGAAUUUUUCCAUAGCAUCAGCACCGGCCAUUCAACUCUGGUGGUAGUAGUUGCUGCCUUUUGGCGCUGGUGCUAUGGAUAAAUUCAACCGGAUGGUU
Molecule: microRNA precursor, 108 nt
Filed under: Aegilops tauschii
Lineage: Eukaryota; Viridiplantae; Streptophyta; Magnoliopsida; Poales; Poaceae
Description: miR9674c stem-loop (ata-MIR9674c)
Source: miRBase by way of RNAcentral